RNAcentral lists this ribosomal RNA (774 nucleotides) under uncultured Neocallimastigales. RNAcentral describes it as "partial large subunit ribosomal RNA". It matches the Rfam family "Eukaryotic large subunit ribosomal RNA", at positions 20 to 621 of the family's 3401-position model. Lineage: Eukaryota; Fungi; Neocallimastigomycota; Neocallimastigomycetes; Neocallimastigales. The record is from RNAcentral.
CAUCACUACGCUAGAUGCAUAUCAAUAAGCGGAGGAAAAGAAACUAACAAGGAUUCCCUAGUAACGGCGAGUGAAGCGGGAAGAGCUCAAAUUUGAAAUCUUCAAGGUUUUACCUUGACGAAUUGUAGUUUAAAGAAGUGUUUUCUGUUGAAGUUUCGGUAAAAGUUCUUUGGAAUAGGACAUCAUAGAGGGUGAGAAUCCCGUAUUUGACCAUUAUUUUCAGCUGUGUGAUACACUUUCAAAGAGUCGGAUUGUUUGGAGAAUGCAGUCCAAAAUGGGUGGUAAAUUUCAUCUAAAGCUAAAUAUUGGCGAGAGACCGAUAGCGAACAAGUACCGUGAGGGAAAGAUGAAAAGAACUUUGAAAAGAGAGUUAAACAGUACGUGAAAUUGUCAAAAGGGAAGCGUUUGACACCAGUGUUGUUUUCUCGAAAAUCAAUUAAAAAAGGCCGGAUUUUGUGUUGUAUUGACCUUAAAAGCUUUCUUCACUCUUUUCUUGUCUUUUUUAAUGCACUUUUCGUUUAACAAGUCAACAUCAGUUUCUUUUGUUGUAAAAGGGUCAUUGGAAGGUGGCUUUCUUUUCGGAGAAAGUGUUUAUAGCCUUUGAUCUCUGCAACCGGAGAGACUGAGGUCUGCAGCGUAGACUCUUCGGGGUUAAAUACAUUUGUGCUAAGCUAUAGCUUUUUAUAGACAACUUGUUGACUAUAUUUAGUCUUGUGGCUUACUCGCUUAUGCUAUUUUACCUACGCUUAGGAUGUUGACACACGCGCGUGCUCG